UGCCAGCAGCCGCGGUAAUACGGAGGUUGCAAGCGUUGUUCGGAAUUACUGGGCGUAAAGGGGGCGCAGGCGGUUCGAUUAGUCGGUCGUGAAAGCCCGGGGCUCAACCCCGGGAGGCCGGUCGAAACUGUUGUGACUAGAGUUCGGUAGAGGUGAGUGGAAUUCCCGGUGUAGCGGUGGAAUGCGCAGAUAUCGGAAGGAACACCAGUGGCGAAGGCGACUUCCUGGGCCAAUACUGACGCUGAGGUGCGAAAGCGUGGGGAGCAAACAGGAUUAGAUA
This 280-nucleotide ribosomal RNA is filed under the name uncultured bacterium. RNAcentral describes it as "partial 16S ribosomal RNA". It matches the Rfam family "Bacterial small subunit ribosomal RNA", at positions 506 to 784 of the family's 1533-position model. The record is from RNAcentral.